GACGUAGGGCGCGAGCGUUGUCCGGAUUUAUUGGGCGUAAAGAGCUCGUAGGCGGUUUGUCGCGUCGUCUGUGAAAACCCACGGCUCAACUGUGGGCUUGCAGUCGAUACGGGCAGGCUAGAGUUCGGUAGGGGAGACUGGAAUUCCUGGUGUAGCGGUGAAAUGCGCAGAUAUCAGGAGGAACACCGGUGGCGAAGGCGGCUCUCUGGGACGGUACUGACGCUGAGACGCGAAAGCGUGGGGAGCGAACAGG
RNAcentral lists this ribosomal RNA (253 nucleotides) under uncultured bacterium. RNAcentral's name for it is "partial 16S ribosomal RNA". It matches the Rfam family "Bacterial small subunit ribosomal RNA", at positions 524 to 776 of the family's 1533-position model. The record is from RNAcentral.